Molecule: ribosomal RNA, 200 nt
Filed under: uncultured bacterium
Lineage: Bacteria
Description: partial 16S ribosomal RNA
Rfam family: Bacterial small subunit ribosomal RNA
Source: RNAcentral
AACGAACGCUGGCGGCAUGCCUAACACAUGCAAGUCGAACGAGACCUUCGGGUCUAGUGGCGCACGGGUGCGUAACGCGUGGGAAUCUGCCCUUGGGUCUGGAAUAACAGUUAGAAAUGACUGCUAAUACCGGAUGAUGACUUCGGUCCAAAGAUUUAUCGCCCAGGGAUGAGCCCGCGUAGGAUUAGCUUGUUGGUGAG